Molecule: non-coding RNA, 24 nt
Filed under: Arabidopsis thaliana (thale cress)
Lineage: Eukaryota; Viridiplantae; Streptophyta; Magnoliopsida; Brassicales; Brassicaceae
Source: RNAcentral
CCGCUCUGCUCGAUACGCUCUCUC